GGGAUUGCCCCAGUAACGGCGAGUGAAGCGGCAACAGCUCAAAUUUGAAAUCUGGCCCUCGGGUCCGAGUUGUAAUUUGUAGAGGAUGCUUUUGGCGAGGUGCCUUCCGAGUUCCCUGGAACGGGACGCCAUAGAGGGUGAGAGCCCCGUCUGGUCGGACACCGAGCCUCUGUAAAGCUCCUUCGACGAGUCGAGUAGUUUGGGAAUGCUGCUCAAAAUGGGAGGUAUAUGUCUUCUAAAGCUAAAUAUUGGCCAGAGACCGAUAGCGCACAAGUAGAGUGAUCGAAAGAUGAAAAGCACUUUGAAAAGAGGGUUAAAAAGUACGUGAAAUUGUUGAAAGGGAAGCGCCUAUGACCAGACUUGAGCCCGGUGAAUCAUCCAGCGUUCUCGCUGGUGCACUUUGCCGGGCCCAGGCCAGCAUCAGUUUGGCGCGGGGGAUAAAGGUGACGGGAAUGUGGCUCCCUCGGGAGUGUUAUAGCCCGCUACGUAAUACCCUGCGCCGGACUGAGGUACGCGCAUUGCAAGGAUGCUGGCGUAAUGGUCAUCAGCGACCCGUCUUGAAACACGGACCAAGGAGUCGUCUUCGUAUGCGAGUGUUCGGGUGUCAAACCCCUACGCGUAAUGAAAGUGAACGCAGGUGAGAGCUUCGGCGCAUCAUCGACCGAUCCUGAUGUUCUCGGAUGGAUUUGAGUAAGAGCAUACGGGGCCGGACCCGAAAGAAGGUGAACUAUGCCUGUAUAGGGUGAAGCCAGAGGAAACUCUGGUGGAGGCUCGCAGCGGUUCUGACGUGCGAAUCGAUCGUCAAAUAUGGGCAUGGGGGCGAAAGA
RNAcentral lists this ribosomal RNA (827 nucleotides) under Cordyceps javanica. RNAcentral's name for it is "partial large subunit ribosomal RNA". It matches the Rfam family "Eukaryotic large subunit ribosomal RNA", at positions 71 to 930 of the family's 3401-position model. The record is from RNAcentral. Lineage: Eukaryota; Fungi; Ascomycota; Sordariomycetes; Hypocreales; Cordycipitaceae.